RNAcentral lists this ribosomal RNA (715 nucleotides) under gamma proteobacterium IMCC14924. Its description in RNAcentral is "bacterial SSU rRNA". It matches the Rfam family "Bacterial small subunit ribosomal RNA", at positions 29 to 743 of the family's 1533-position model. Lineage: Bacteria; Pseudomonadati; Pseudomonadota; Gammaproteobacteria. The record is from RNAcentral.
UUGAACGCUGGCGGCAGGCCUAAGACAUGCAAGUCGAGCGAGAAAGCCCUUCGGGGUGAGUACAGCGGCGGACGGGUGAGUAACGCGUAGGAAUCUACCUAGUAGUGGGGGACAACUCGUGGAAACGCGAGCUAAUACCGCAUACGCCCUACGGGGGAAAGCGGGGGAUCUUCGGACCUCGUGCUAUUAGAUGAGCCUGCGUAAGAUUAGCUAGUUGGUGGGGUAAUGGCCUACCAAGGCGACGAUCUUUAGCUGGUCUGAGAGGAUGAUCAGCCACACCGGGACUGAGACACGGCCCGGACUCCUACGGGAGGCAGCAGUCGGGAAUAUUGCGCAAUGGGCGAAAGCCUGACGCAGCCAUGCCGCGUGUGUGAAGAAGGCCCUAGGGUUGUAAAGCACUUUCAAUUGGGAGGAAAAGCUAAUGGUUAAUAGCCAUUAGCCCUGACGUUACCUUUAGAAGAAGCACCGGCUAACUCCGUGCCAGCAGCCGCGGUAAUACGGAGGGUGCAAGCGUUAAUCGGAAUUACUGGGCGUAAAGCGCGCGUAGGCGGUUUUUUAAGUCGGAUGUGAAAGCCCCGGGCUCAACCUGGGAAUUGCAUCCGAUACUGGAUAACUAGAAUGCGGGAGAGGGAGGUAGAAUUCCAUGUGUAGCAGUGAAAUGCGUAGAUAUAUGGAGGAAUACCAGUGGCGAAGGCGGCCUCCUGGCUCGACAUGA